CAAAAACAUGUCUUUUUGUUUAUUUAUUUAAGGUUUGACCUGCCCAAUGAGGAAUUGAAUGGCCGCAGUAUUUUAACUGUGCUAAGGUAGCAUAAUCAUUUGUCUUUUAAUUGAGGGCUGGAAUGAAGGGUUGGACGAGGUAUUAACUUUCUUUAAUCUAGUUAGGAGAAUUUAAUUUUUGAGUUAAAAAGCUUAAAUUUAUUUAUGGGACGAGAAGACCCUAUAGAUCUUUAUAAUUUUAUAUUUUAGUAAUUUGGAGGUUUAUGUACUUUGAAUAAAUUAAUUAUUUUGUUGGGGUGACUGUAGAAUUAAAAUAACUUCUAUUUAUUUUUUCAUUGAUGAGUGUUUUUGUGAUCCAUAAUUUUAUGAUUAUAAGAUUAAGUUACCUUAGGGAUAACAGCGUAAUUUCUUUGGAGAGUUCAUAUUGAUGAAGAAGUUUGCGACCUCGAUGUUGGAUUAAAAUUAGUUGUAGAUGCAGGAGUUUACUUACUAGGUCUGUUCGACCUUUGAAUUUUUACAUGAUCUGAGUU
This 530-nucleotide ribosomal RNA is filed under the name Triatoma maculata. RNAcentral's name for it is "partial 16S ribosomal RNA". It matches the Rfam family "Bacterial large subunit ribosomal RNA", at positions 1808 to 2611 of the family's 2925-position model. The record is from RNAcentral. Lineage: Eukaryota; Metazoa; Arthropoda; Insecta; Hemiptera; Reduviidae.